AUGAUCAAGGGAGACCAGAGGCAGCUUGGCAGCCAUGAAGAUCGGCUGAAAGAUCAGGAUGGCAAUUUUUUCAAGUUCUUGCAAAACCAGUCAAGCGCAAAAAAAGAGGCUCAAGAAGACAAGAUUGCGUCCACGAGGGCAGAGAUGGGCGAAGUGAGAAAAGAGAACGAGAGGCUGAAGACGAUGUUGUCAUGGAUGGUGGAGGACCAUCGAUCCCUUCAGAAGCAGUUCGAUGUUUUCCACCAGCAAGGACGAGGCAAAAACCUCGCCGUGGGCUCACCGGAGCACACAUCGCCCACCGACGGCGUCAAGGACCCCAGAUUCUUCGCAUUAGGCCUCGGAACGAGUGCGAGCGCGAGCACGAGCAGGCAGAACUUGGGAGAAGAGAUCAGGACCGGCACUAAUAAUCCAGAUGGCAAGGGCGUCUCUCUUGGACUUUCAUCAGGCUGCAAAGCUGUUGGUGCAGCUGGUCAAAGUGAGAUGAAGGUGCAGCCGGAUGUGCUGACGUUGAGCCCUGGAGGCAGCUCCGAGGAGGACGCCGCCACAGAGACGACAACAACAUCGAGCAAAGCAGCAAAGAACCCGAGGAGCACCGGUGGUGGCGCAGAGGCCGAGGAGGAGGUGGCCCAGCAGCCACUGGCCAAGAAGGCAAGGGUGUCGGUGAGGGCACGGUGUGACACACCAACGAUGAACGAUGGGUGCCAGUGGAGGAAGUAUGGGCAGAAGAUAUCGAAGGGGAACCCAUGUCCACGCGCCUACUACCGCUGCACCGUCGCAACAGGGUGCCCCGUCAGGAAACAGGUGCAGAGAUGUGCGGAAGACAUGUCGAUCCUGAUCACCACCUACGAGGGCGCGCACAACCACCCGCUCUCCGCCUCCGCAGCCGCCAUGGCCUCCACCACCUCCGCCGCCGCGUCCAUGCUCAUGUCAGGCUCCUCCACCUCGCUCGGCUUCCCCUCCGCCGCCUCCAGCCUCCACGGCCACAGGUUCGGCCUCCCGGCGGCCAGCGACGCCUCCUCCAGCCAGAUGGGUGGCCGGCCGUUCUUCCUCCCGACCGCCACCGGCGCGUCCAUCAGCGCCACGCCGUCGUACCCCACCAUCACCCUCGACCUCACCUCGCAGGCCGCCUCGCAGCAGGCCUUCUCCCUCAGCAACAGCAACAGGUUCUCCUCCAGCUUCAGUGGCGCCCACGGCCACAGCAGCAGCGCUGGUAGGUACCCUUCCACGAGCUUCUCCUUCUCCGGCUCCGGCGCAAGCAACCUGCCCGGCUUCACCGCGUGGCCGGCCGGCGUUGGAUCAUACAUGAGCUACGGAUCGUCGUCCGCCGCGCUCUACAACGGCGCCGGCAAGAGCUCGUUCGAGGACGCGCUGAGCGGCAUCAACGGAAGGCAGCAAGCCUCGGUGGCGUCCCUCUACCAGCCGGCGCAGGUGCAGCAGAGAGCGGCUCAGUUGAGCGGCGGCGGCACGGGCACGGCGGCGCCGAUCGUGCCCACCGACACGAUCGCCAAGGCGAUCACGUCGGACCCGGGCUUCCACACGGCGCUCGCGGCCGCCAUCACGUCGUACGUCGGCAAACCGGCUGCCGGAGGCGGCAAGGGGCUCGAGUGGGGGGAGCACCUCGGGCUGGGCCCGUCGAGUGCGGCGUGCUCGUCGGCGCUGCUGGCACGGUCGACGGGGGCGGCACCGAGCGGUUCUCCGCACGGCAAGAAGAUGCCGUUCUUGCAGCCGUCGCUGGCACUCUCGGGCUCCACCACCAGUGCUACUGCUUCCACCCCACCUGUGAAAAGCAGGGAGCACACUAAUUAG
RNAcentral lists this ribosomal RNA (1806 nucleotides) under Triticum aestivum (bread wheat). RNAcentral's name for it is "partial small subunit ribosomal RNA". The record is from RNAcentral. Lineage: Eukaryota; Viridiplantae; Streptophyta; Magnoliopsida; Poales; Poaceae.